This 497-nucleotide ribosomal RNA is filed under the name uncultured bacterium. Its description in RNAcentral is "partial 16S ribosomal RNA". It matches the Rfam family "Bacterial small subunit ribosomal RNA", at positions 28 to 507 of the family's 1533-position model. The record is from RNAcentral.
GAUGAACGCUGGCGGCGUGCCCAAUACAUGCAAGUCGAGCGAACAGACGAGGAGCUUGCUCCUCUGACGUUAGCGGCGGACGUGUGAGUAACACGUGUAUCACCUACCUAUAAUACUGGUAUAACUUCGGGAAACCGGAGCUAAUACCGUAUAAUAUAUUGAACCGCAUGGUUCAAUAGUGAAAUACGGUUUUUCUGUCACUUAUCGAUGGAUCCGCGCCGAAUUAGCUAGUUGGUAAGGUAACGGCUUACCAAGGCAACGAUGCGUAGCCGACCGGAGAGGGUGAUAGGCCACACUGGAACUGAGACACGGUCCAGACUCCUAAGGGAGGCAGCAGUAGGGAAUCUUACGCAAUGGGCGAAAGCAUGACGGAGCGACGCCGAGUGAGUGAUGAAGGUCUUCGGAUCGUAAAACUCUGUUAUUAGGGAAGAACAAAUGUGUAAGUAAAUAUGCACGUCUUGACGGUACCUAAUCAGAAAGCCACGGCUAACUACGUG